Molecule: ribosomal RNA, 408 nt
Filed under: uncultured bacterium
Lineage: Bacteria
Description: bacterial SSU rRNA
Rfam family: Bacterial small subunit ribosomal RNA
Source: RNAcentral
AUUGAACGCUGGCGGCAUGCCUAACACAUGCAAGUCGAACGGUAACAGGCCCUUCGGGGCGCUGACGAGUGGCGGACGGGUGAGUAAUGCUUAGGAAUCUGCCUAGUAGUGGGGGAUAACCCGGGGAAACUCGGGCUAAUACCGCAUACGUCCUACGGGAGAAAGCGGGGGACCUUCGGGCCUCGCGCUAUUAGAUGAGCCUAAGUCCGAUUAGCUAGUUGGUAGGGUAAUAGCCUACCAAGGCGACGAUCGGUAGCUGGUCUGAGAGGACGACCAGCCACACUGGGACUGAGACACGGCCCAGACUCCUACGGGAGGGCAGCAGUGGGGAAUAUUGGACAAUGGGCGCAAGCCUGAUCCAGCGAUGCCGCGUGUGUGAAGAAGGCCUGCGGGUUGUAAAGCACUUUC